RNAcentral lists this ribosomal RNA (439 nucleotides) under uncultured bacterium. RNAcentral's name for it is "partial 16S ribosomal RNA". It matches the Rfam family "Bacterial small subunit ribosomal RNA", at positions 339 to 795 of the family's 1533-position model. The record is from RNAcentral.
CUACGGGGGGCUGCAGUGAGGAAUAUUGCACAAUGGGGGGAACCCUGAUGCAGCAACGCCGCGUGGAGGAUGACGCAUUUCGGUGUGUAAACUCCUUUUAUAUGUCAAGAAAAUGACGGUAGCAUAUGAAUAAGCACCGGCUAACUCCGUGCCAGCAGCCGCGGUAAUACGGAGGGUGCAAGCGUUACUCGGAAUCACUGGGCGUAAAGGACGCGUAGGCGGGUUGGAAAGUCAGGUGUGAAAUCCUACAGCUUAACUGUAGAACUGCACUUGAAAAUUCUAAUCUAGAGUAUGGGAGGGGGAGAGGGAAUUAGUGGUGUAGGGGUAAGAUCCGUAGAUAUCACUAGGAAUACCUAAAGCGAAGGCGAUCUCCUGGAACAUUACUGACGCUAAGGCGUGAAAGCGUGGGGAGCAAACAGGAUUAGAUACCCCCGUAGUC